CUACGGGCUGCUGCAGUGGGGAAUAUUGGACAAUGGGCGAAAGCCUGAUCCAGCCAUGCCGCGUGGAUGAAGAAGGCCCUAGGGUUGUAAAGUCCUUUCGGUGGUGAAGAUAAUGACGGUAACCACAGAAGAAGCCCCGGCUAAUUUCGUGCCAGCAGCCGCGGUAAUACGAAAGGGGCUAGCGUUGUUCGGAAUUACUGGGCGUAAAGCGCACGUAGGCGGCCUUGUAAGUUGGGGGUGAAAUCCCGGAGCUCAACUCCGGAACUGCCUUCAAAACUACAAAGCUAGAGGAUGUGAGAGGAUAGUGGAAUUCCGAGUGUAGAGGUGAAAUUCGUAGAUAUUCGGAAGAACACCGGUGGCGAAGGCGACUGUCUGGCACAUUUCUGACGCUGAGGUGCGAAAGCGUGGGGAGCAAACAGGAUUAGAUACCCGCGUAGUC
Molecule: ribosomal RNA, 439 nt
Filed under: uncultured bacterium
Lineage: Bacteria
Description: partial 16S ribosomal RNA
Rfam family: Bacterial small subunit ribosomal RNA
Source: RNAcentral